UGUCCCAGGGAUUACAUUCUCCUCCCCCAUCUUCGCUUGCUGCCACUUCAUUAUGCAAGUUUGCCUCCAAUGUCUGCAAAUAUGAAUAAAAUUCCUUCAGAUUUUGUUAAUGAAAGAGGUGAAGAGAGAUGAUGGUGAGGAGUUUGUGUACGAUUGUUGCUGACCUGUUGAUUCCCCGAUCUCCCAUGGCCGCCUCUCCCUUUCCCAUGGGCGCCUCCCAGAUUUGUUCUAGGCUGGUAGGUGAGAUCUUUGUAGUGGUUGAUGGCAAUUGGCGUGUUUUGUUGUGCCUGGGAUCGGACAAAUCGGGUCAGAUGUUUACCCGACCCGUUUAGACGAUCAGGAGGUUUUUUUUAGCUAUCUGCUGAUUUUCCUGCU
Non-coding RNA from Triticum urartu, 375 nucleotides. The record is from RefSeq and is a predicted model, not a curated record. Lineage: Eukaryota; Viridiplantae; Streptophyta; Magnoliopsida; Poales; Poaceae.